RNAcentral lists this ribosomal RNA (377 nucleotides) under uncultured bacterium. RNAcentral's name for it is "bacterial SSU rRNA". It matches the Rfam family "Bacterial small subunit ribosomal RNA", at positions 420 to 792 of the family's 1533-position model. The record is from RNAcentral.
AGGUUGUAAAGUUCUUUUCCAUGUCUAGAAUAAGGUUGUUAGGAAAUGAGCAACUGAUGACAUAUGCAUGGGAAUAAGCCCCGGCCAAUUACGUGCCAGCAGCCGCGGUAAUACGUAAGGGGCAAGCGUUGUUCGGAAUCAUUGGGCGUAAAGGGCGUGUAGGCGGUUAUGCAAGCUUGAUGUUAAAUAUCCCGGCUUAACCGGGAGAGUGCGUUGAGAACUGCAUGACUUGAGUUUUUGGGGGGAAGCUGGAAUUCCUGGUGUAGGGGUGAAAUCUGUAGAUAUCAGGAAGAACACCGAUGGCGAAGCAAGCUUCUAUCAAAAGACUGACGCUGAGGCGCGAAACGUGGGGAGCGAACAGGAUUAGAUCCCUGGUA